This is a long non-coding RNA of Scleropages formosus (Asian bonytongue), 10040 nucleotides long. RefSeq lists it as uncharacterized. NCBI's taxonomy places the organism in Eukaryota, Metazoa, Chordata, Actinopteri, Osteoglossiformes, Osteoglossidae. The record is from RefSeq and is a predicted model, not a curated record. The transcript has 3 exons.
CGAAGCCAAAACAGCGCGGAGGAACACGGAACUGCAGAGAGCGAGAAGAGGCCAACAUGAGAAAAUAGCAGUGGCUGCACGGAACACGGCUGGAGCAACGGUCAGGUGCCACAGUCCCAGGACCGCAGGCGAGAGGAAGCUGUAACAUCACACGGUGACCACAGACAUGCCCUGAAAAAGUGAGACCAUGUCGGCCGGCCGACCAACACAGGGAUCGAACGCAGUAGACGGAACCCAUUCCCAUACAUCUGGCUGGGCUGAGAAAGACAGCAAGGUAAAGAGGAAGGAGAUUCCCUAAAGGAAAAUAAAAGUAAUUGUUUAUUUAAAAGGGCUGCAUUGGGGGUAUAUCGACACUUUUAUAAAAAUAGAUUUUGUAAGCUAAAAAGAGGAUGGCAGUGGGGUGCAAAAAUAUGGAACAGGGCCCUCUGCCAAAGUAUGGGAGCGUUGUGAAACUUCACAGGACGGCAGACAGAACAUUACCGCGUUAUUUUGGGAGCGUGGUGUUCAGCGCACCAUGCAUGGCUUAGAGGUGUGAUUUGUUUCGUUUUCACUCGCUUGCUUUUCAAGUGUACCCAUUUGUCUUGAAGGACGUCCCUCACUGUGCGGGAGGCCAGUCCAUUGUAGCGCUUGUGUUAUCCUUCAUGUUAUUAUUUGAAACUGAAAUAACCUCACCCCCCCAACCCCAAUUCCCUCACCCCCAGUAGUAUGGGCUGCCAAGUUUCUGCUCCCUCCCAACCCCUUUGCUCAUUUUUCAUCCUUGUUUAAAUAUAGCACCCUGCCCCCCCUCCCCAAGUGGGCGCUUGUUCUUGCUGUUCCCACAGGCCUGGGAGAAGCCUGGAGGCUUGGGGUCCACCGCCCUGCCAGUCCUGCUCUCAAAGUGCGGUCGGCUUCCACCUUGGCUCCGGACCGAUCUAAUCAGCCCCCUGGAAAUACGGGUAAUGUAAUCCGGGGGUUGCAGACAGAUCAGGCGGAUCACGUGUGAAUCUCCUCCUAUCGCGCGGCUCCUCCAGCUAGACAUCUCCAGAAGGGAAGGUGGAGUGAGCUACCAGGAGGUGUAUGUGCAAGCAUGUUUUCACGUCUCUGACUUGUGACGUUUUGAGCUUGGGGGCCUGGACAGUGGCUGGUUUGGGGUGGCCGCACCAAGGCCGCUUCCUUCCUCUCCAAGACAGUUCCUUAAUUACCCAUCGCAGCGAAGGGGCCUUUGUGCUGCUGUAGCGAGAGCCGUUAGCAGGGCUUGUGCAACACCGCAGGUCAAUUAAGCUGAAAAUGGGCAACAAAAAGGAAAACAGACCUGUGUCGAACACGUAGCUGGCAGGGAAGCAACAAACGGCCAUUUUUUUAGGCCACCGGGGCUUUUGACUCUGAAGCAGCAGGCCCCUGAACCUGAAUGGCUUUGACACACAAAGGCUCAAGUGGGGCCAUUGAGACGCCGCAGUGCCACCUGUCCGAGUGACCCGGCUCCUCCACAUCUCCUCUGAUGGGAUCCUCAGCUGCCCUGCUGCACUGCUGUGUGAGCUGGGCCAUCGGUGUUCUUCUCCUUCUUUAUUGCCUCCUAAAUAAGUAAGUAGGGCACUUAUUCUGAUCCGUCGGAUCUUUUUUCAUACUCUGACAAAACUUCCUCACAAUACACUUAAAUAAAGGUGCACACGAAGUGAUGAGGAACGACAGUUUCAGUGACUAUGAUCUGGGACGGUAAUGAAAGCCAUUUCACAUGAACGGCUUGAAACAGUUUUCUUGACGAACACCAAUGGAAUAACACCUUUGCCUCCUCCGCACCGGUCUGUAGAUGGCGCUGGUGUGUAGAGGCUGCUGAAAGAGCAGCCCCACAGUAGAGUAAAACUGCAGUGUACAUUGUAGCCAGUCUCACUCACACCACAGCACAGGUACCUGGCGUGGAGCGGCUGGGGGAGGCAGGAACAGAGUGCGCCCAAGGGACUGCUUUUCCACCAAUGAAACGGGGGCAGCCUAUGUGUCCACGGCAACGCUGGGUCUUCAAAAGAAGAAAAGCGGCAAGCAGUUCCUGACCUGCUGACCAACACCUCCCCCGACGUGGUCGCCUCUCACUGCAGCCGGGUCCGAGCGGAGCUGGGAACAGCAGCGGCAUCCAAAAGGCUGCCAUCCCACAGAUAAUUCAUCGCCGACACAAAGCUGACCUUUAGAGGCAUACAAGUGGGAAUUUCAUUCUGUUUACAAAACACUGUCGCCCUUUACCACUGGAGGGGUGACGUCGAGCCAGCAGAUGACCUGUUAACUCCUGUGUACGGACACAAGUGGAAAACUGAAGGGCUUCUUUACAAAUUACAUAAAAAAAACCCUUUGAUGCAACAACACACUUCAACGGGGAAAUCUUACACAGUCUUACAGUCUAACAUCCAUGCAAUAAACGGGGAAACCAAUUGAGCAUGUAGUUUAUGGACGACAGAGCACUGUAAGGAAAAACUGCUGUUUCAACAGGAAGGAUUAAACUGACUUCCACUGGGAGAUGCUUAAAAGAACAGACCUUACUCGUGGAUCUUGUGUACAUCCAAAAGUGACACGGAAAUGUAAUUCUGAAUCUAGACAAACUGUGGAACGAACCUGUGGCAGGAUUUAGACUCUGGUUAGACAGGCGUCACUGUCACACUUAAAAAGUCACUGUACAGAAGUGACUCGCAGUCUCACAAGCACUGCCGCCUCUGCCGCCUUUCUUCAUAUCCCCACUGUGGAGAGUCGCUCCACUGGAAAAUGUCACCAAUUUGCCUGUCAACUUCGCAUUCUAAUUGCCUUAAUGAUUCCUGUCCCCCUCCCCCAACACCCCUGUCUCACAUCUACACACACCUCCACAUACACACACACACACACACACACACACACACACACACACACACACAGAGAGAGAGAGCGGUCCCACCCCCUCCAUUUUCCGCGUGUUUAGACUUUACAGUCCCAGGGAGCACCCUCGCAAUAAUAAAUAAAAAAUUUCAUACUACAGUUACCACAAGUCUCCUACCCUGACCUGUAUAGCUGUCGAGGAGAAUGGUGAAAACCAACAUUGUUCCAGAUUAUUCUAAACCCUGUGACAGGACUGUGUUUAUUUGUCCACAGCAAAAUGAUUUAAAAGUCCUGAGAUCAUCCUGCUAGCCUCCACUACGUCUCCGUUCGCACCAAUGUUUUCAUCUCAGCUGCAGAACCAUGCAGGAUCCAACACCACACCUUCACCAAACACCAAGAGUGUAACCACAGCAGAGCACAAAAUGGCUCCCAGGAUUAUCUUGCAAGGCCCAUCGUCCCCACAUAACCGGAGCCAGAAGAUUGCAGCAAGAGGUGUACGCCCAUCGUCCGCUCCUUCCCGCGCUUUCCGAAAGGCACGGCUUUGUUCCCACCGGGUCACGCCACCACGCAGAGUAAAACACAAAACAUCUGGCUUCCUAAUGAGCGAUAUCAAUUUGGAGGGCUAUCUGGGAUCCCCUCCCUAUGCUCCAAAUUCCUUUGUAAGGCAGAUGAGAGUAGGGCCCUCCCCCACAGCACUUGCGGGCCUUUGCAGGUCCUUUGUAGCCAUCUUGAAAGUAGCCUCAUCUUCUGUUCCCUCCACAAAAAACAACAUCCUGGCACUGGGCUGUAGGGCGAUCUGGGCUUUUCAAUACCGCCAGUUACUCCAUUUACAUUUCAAUCGUAGUCAUGCAGGUCAACCCGUGCUGCUGAUUGUUUCUCUUUCCAUUUUCUUUUUGAAUUUGCACAUAAACAUCUCACGCUUUUCUGGCGGCAGACGUUUGACGGUUGGACCUGAGCUCAUUUGCACAGCGCCUUCACGGUGCCGCCCUUCCGGUUUACGGGAGCCGCUUCUGUAAACGGCACCGAACAACCCUACAAGGGCCGAGCACCGCGAGCUCUACACUGACCCUUUGUAAGCUGUUAAACAUGUGCAGCUCAAGUGGAAAUAUCCGCCAUUACAACCCAGGCUGAAGAGCGGGGAGGUCCGAGUACUGGCAGAACAGCAGCGCCUCCUUCAGGAGAUCCAUAGUACUCAUCAGGGAAUUCCAAACCAUAGUACAAAUCAAGAAGUAAGGCACCAUGCUGUUCAAUAUUCAAUUUGCUUAUCAUGCCUGGAAGAUAACUUACUUGCAGCAUGGUUACAGUUUUGUAACCAUGUAUUUUUGAAUCGGUUAAGGCCAAUUUCUUGCUGCUUCUUUAACAGCAAGUUGCAUACUGUGUUUACACUUUAAAUAUGCAUCUCAAAAGCCCAGCUUCUAAUUACCCCUCCACAUGUGUCAAGUUAAAUCCUUUGCUGUGCUUUUGCACAUACUAUUGUACAUAUUUACAAACAAGCAAAACAAUUAACCAUCCUCCGAUGGUUCCUGCUUUCUUAUGCAGAUACACAUUCUUAUGCAGAUGACGUGGAAGAGGAAGCACAAUGGUAGGGAUCCCAUUAGCAAUGCAGUGCUGUGAGCUCUGUUUCUCAGCUGACGUGAGAUGAUACAGAUAUCUGACCUUCUCUGACUCCUUCACACAUACAGAGGCGGCCCUGUGGAUGAGCUCACAGCUCACAUCUGCCCCCUGAUGGGAUCGUCCACAACGCUGAAAACACUGCCUUCUCCUGAAAGAGCAAAACUUGUCCACCUUCCAGUACAGUGCGUACUUCAAGCACGAGUACUAGAAGACAAGUGUUAACUUUGUAAUGACAGGAAGGUUGAAAGGUUCUUAAACUCACAGGCUGAAAAUCAUCAACAUUUAGUGCAUGGGAUUGUCUGCGGAAGCAACCAAGUUUAAGUGGUGGAAGCAGAGAGAGAGUCUACGGCUGGUAAGGAUCAGCCCCCUCCCCCCUGCAGUUUAGCCUCCAUCUGUGUGCACCCCCCACCCCUCAUUCUACCCAUACAUUCACCAUAUGUCCAUGUCACCCCUCCCCCUUUACUAGCACCUUUCCCCCUCCACAGGCCUACUGCUUGCCAUACUAUAACAAAUAAAGAAAAAUAACAACCAGCAAGUCUGACCCUGCAGGGGGUCUUUGGAUUCACAAUCACAGUACCAGCUGCUGCUCUAAAGCAUUAUGGGUAAACAUGGCAUGGGCAGAUGAACGCACAUUGGGUUAGGGUUCCCGGGCCUGAACUGUAAGGGCUUGACCAUGCAGAGUGAAAACGGUACCACAGAGGUGGAGAAGGCCAACGUCCACUGGAAGAGCGGCCCACCAAAGCACGACCUUUAAUCUUUAGCCCUCUUAGACUUGACCCAGUUCCAUCUCAUCUGAAACACUUUCCUGCACUCCCAGAAGGUCAUCCUAGACCACCUCCAUUCCACCAAACAUCUGGUAUUCAUAUGGAUCACUGUGAGCCUGAAACACACGUACACGUUAAAAUAGGGUAGACCUGUUGUAAUAAUUUCAUGCCUUUACGUUCAUUCAUUUACAUGUCAGUAGAUGAACUCAAGGGUGGAUUUUAGCCAUGAUCCAGAUUCACUCACACAUACUACAGUGCAUCCAACCAAACAAAAGCUAAAUUUACCAUGUACUGUCUUCACAGCCCCAUGUCAAGCUUAUUUUUCCUCGGUCUUGUGUUUGUUCCCACUGGUAAACAUCCAGGGUGCCUCCUGAGAGGUUACAAUGGACCGUGGAGCAGAAAGUGUCAGAUUGUCUAAAGAAAUGUACAAAGUGACAGAAGCCAAACUCCUCAGCAGUCACAUGACCCUGUGUUAGAGAACGUGACACUGUAAGCACUGGGGUGUUUAAAGGGCUGCUAAUGAAGAGAUAAUCAAGUCAAUUACAGAACGAAAACGACACGCUUCUCUGGCACGUGAGAUGCGCCGCGAAGAUCCAUCAAGUCUGGAUGUGACUGUAAUUCCACCAAUGCCAUCUCACCUGGAGUGCUGCUGGUCUGACAGGAGGUUGAAAUGGGAGGAUGCACACCACUGGUCAUGAACACUUCGCCUAAGCAACAGCGAGGCGGAAACAGCUCCCUUUGCGCAGUUGGAAUGAGUGACCCGGGGGUGUAAAGCUCAGAAAUGCACAUUUCAUAACCCUAUAAACCCUUUCACUGCGGUUUAAUUGACCAGCAUUGGGGCCGGGGGGCCUACGGCCUGAAGUCCAGACUAGAUGACGGCAUUUUUUGUAGCGGGUAGCAGAGAGGUGACCUCAAAGCCGGCCAGAGGGAGGCACCCACUUCCUGUCUGAGUGGCCCAGUACACCACAUCUGCAGAUCCUUUCAACACAUCACUGUCCCCAUCUUUGCCCCCCUGGCACCCCCAUCUCCUGGACACCUUAAUCCGGCUGUCAGCUCACUCUAAUUCACUGUGUCAAGGAGAAAGCCACGUCCUCUCCCACUGGGAAGCUUAGGACUACUUGCGGGUGCAAGCGGAUUACAGUAACCCAUUGUAAUCUUUCCACUAUGUACCGAGCCAAGAGAUAGGAGUCCACUUCAGCCAGAACCAUAUAAAGGCAAGAUUCACUUGGGACAUUAAACCGAGACUAACAUUUGGCCUUGUGCACAUUGUUCUUGUUUGCCCUAACAUGCCUCAAAUAUGGCAGUAAACAAAUGUGUUACUUUUCAGCUGGAUGGGAAAAGCUGCAACGCAUCAAGCAAGCCUGAGCUCUCGCAGCCUGACGCCAAAAUGAAAAAGUGAAUCUGGGCUUGCUCUCACCGUUAAGUCCCAUAAACAGACGCAAAAGCUGAACAAUCCCCAAGAGAUCAACCGCUAGUUAGCGAGAUUUGGCUCCGUUUUAAGAGUUGGAAUAUAGCGCAUUAAGAUGGAUUUCAGCACCAUUGUGGAUCAGCUUUAUGAAUCUUGCUUAGUAGAGCAGUGCAAGUACAGUACUGCAAAACACAAUGUGCAUCAUUACGGGCCUCCGUUCCACAAACCGGCAUUUAGAUACAAACCACUGUUCUGUUCUAUGGAACGAACGGCACAACAAAAACCAUCAAACAAGACAAACAGAAUUUCUUUCUUGGUAUUUUUUGUGUCUUGGGUGGUCAAAUUGUUUUUCUAAAGAGACGGGACUCCGCAGCCUGAUACGUAGUCAACAAAGAGAGGACAGGGAGCACCAGAGAGUCAGGGGGAUUAACACAGCUCAGUACUGUUUGCAUUAAUGAAAUGGUCUAUUGUGACCCUGUCGAAACAUGCGGCCUUGCGCGGCUCUCUCGUGCUACCAAGAACCCAUGCACUAGAUCCCCACACUUCUACUUGUUGUUCUUCCCACCAUGAACCACUUGACAGCAGCUCCAAGGCCAUUAUGCAGGCAUUGACCUUGAAGCAAAGCCUGCAACUUGUCCUGUGUCACACUCCAGGCCUAGACUUCUACAACCAGACUUUUACUACAAAUGCUAAUACCAAAAGUCAGAAGACAGAAGUCUAAAUAAGAUGAGAAGUGAGACAUUCAUUUUAAAAAGUGUAAACAAUAACAAUUUUUUUACAUUUUCUGCUCGUUGGACGUAGAUGAGUAUGAGUUAUCUAAGGACUCUGGAAUUAUAAUAUCACUCUAUUGAUUUCCAAGGCUUCAAGCACAUGAAUAAUCGCUGCCCUGUCAGGUUAACAAUAAAGACAGGCUGCUUACAUUUCUGCCCUUCUUAAAACCUUAAUGAUCUCAGAUGUAAGACCUUCUAAUCAUCAAAAAGACUAUCAAUAAUUAAACAUAUUGUAGGGUGAAACAAGUGGAGACUGUAACCCAAGCAGAAGAAAUAAAUUAUAGUGAUCCUAAAAACAUGUUAUUGAACACAGAGCUCCAGUUUUUUAAUUAAUUUACUUAGCGGAUAGUAGAAUCUUUUUUUCAAACGGUUGUCGAAAGUUCUGUUGCUAUAGUAUUUAUUUACAUAUUAAAUUUCUGUGUGAUGUGAAGGUAGAAAGAUAUGUUGACACUGCCCAGUGGAUGGGUCUUAUUGAUGGCUCCGCCUACAGCAGCAACUCUUUUUCACUGAUUACGGGGCCACAGAAUGCUCAGCGAACAGGUUGCGGAGUGGGACAAGGUGGUGGCAUCUGCGCCUGAGGACAGUCCAUCCAAGAGACACGUGAACACGCCCACAAGAGACGAGCCGUCACCGAGCAUGCUUAGUUCUCAUUCUUGAGACGCCCGGUGACCCCGUCCACCAGAGCUGAUUACACAUCAGUGCCUGUGGCUAUUUUAAGUGAGGAUUCCCUGCGCUGGUCUUGCUGCCCAUCUGAAAACACAUCCACUGGCCAAUGAGCAAGAUGCUUAUUGAACCUGGAAAUUUAGCCGUGAUGCUGUGCUGCACAGUGAGGGGGCACCAAGAUGGAUUUGUGCUGAUUAACCCAUGUUGUCUGUGUACACAGGUGGGAGAGCAUUGAAACUCCCCCUGUGUGCGCGCUGCACCCGAGUGCUCAUUAAACCUGUCCGCCUGCGGCUUCUCUUCCUCAGGGAGGUGUGGGGCAAAGCUUAACUUAUGGAAUAAAGGCCGGGAUGACAGAUUUCACUGGCGCCCCAACGGCCAAUUGAUUACUCUUUGACCUUUUAAUUAGCAUUAUCAAUUCAUCAUUCAAGCACAUAACUGGCCAUCGGCAAUUAAUGGAGACAGUUUUUUAAUCAUUAGAAGCACUGGAGUGUGACGUUAAAUGUUCUGACCAUGACAGUCUAGCCCAUGAGUUCAUGCUGGGGCACAACGGGAAAAAGACGGGGGACUAAUUCCCUGCGCUCUGUGCAGACCAGACUAGGACACACUCAGUAACAGAUUAUGAUAUUCUUGUCGGUCCACCUGCAUGUCACACCUGUUUUGCACGUGUGUAACUCACCCCUGUGUCAGAACACGCUACCAUGUGUUUUUACAGAUGUGACCUUUCUUUAAACAACAGCGAAAUGGCUGCUACUCUAACAUAGUUAAAAGAGACACAGCGAGACCCCCCGGGGAUUAAACCUGGAACCUUCUGGUCAGUUCUUUAACCACUUAAAUUAAAAAUUCAUAAAACUGAUUCUUUAAAGCAGAGGAUUAAUGAAUACACAAUCAUGAAGAAGACAUGACUGGGGUGCUGAUUUAAAUAUUACAAAUACAGCUGUAUUGUUUAUUUCAUGUCUUCUGAGUUAGUUACACUAAACCAGGGACUGAGAAUUUUAAAUAAGGCAACGAGCAAAAGUUUCCCCACUGCUAAUCCAUUCAGAGAGAGUUGGGUGACAGGUGUCCAUGAGUGUCCAGCAAACAUCUUCAGCGACAGCAGGACUUAAAGGGGAUGGCAGAAAGGAAUGUAAAAGGGAGAGACAAACAUAUCUAAUACCCUCAAACCAGGCCAGCUUCACCGGAGUAAAGUCAUCCAGAGUAAAAUCAUGUCUGAGACCGACAGGGUCGACCUACACUUAGCUCAUGCUGUUUUUCAAGUGUAAACAGGACCUGUCAGAGGAAGAUGAGGCAUCACUGCUAAUCAUCUUAGGCUGCUCCACAGCGCAGGCUCCCGCUCUGGGAGUCACUGCUGGAAUCACAGCUGGUUCGCAUCGGUGUUGCGGAGGCAGUGGGAGUCCUGGAGAUACCUGAGGCCCUUUGGCUGCUGCAGAUUACAGGAGCCCGAAUAGGAAGCCCUGAGCCUGCCCACUUCCUGCUUCACUCGCCUGACCUCCCACGCUGAGGAAACCAGGGUCACGAGAGUCACAAACUGCACGAACCUCCAAAAACAGCAGAAGCCAGGAAACAGCGAGCUGCAAGAACGGUGUCAACAGGUGCCAUGUGCCUUAUUAAGAAAAGAGAAUUAGAGGUCACAUUUAAGAAAUAAACAACAAAGGCCUGCCCCCACGUUGCCACUGUGCUAAAAACAGGAAUCGUCCAAUGUGCAGUUACAGACGGUUUACCCUGUGGUUUCCUGGACCUCACCUAACCGCACCACACACACACACACACACAUAGUGAGAGUAUUACUUAAUAGACAACACCAUUUCCAAACCUCUGUCAUCCCCUAGUGGCAAAAAGAGUAUCACACCCUACCUUUUGUCCUGUUCCCCAAGAGAAACCCCCCCCUCAGGAUCCACUGGAGUUUGAGGAUAGGAAAGGAGAGGAGAAUCACGCUACUGGCAAACCUCUGCACGAUACGGCACCACAACAGAUGAGUCAGAGAAAUAGUUUGUAUGGAUUGUUCAGCAGAAA